GACGAACGCUAGCGGCGUGCUUAACACAUGCAAGUCGAACGGAAAGGCCCUGCUUUUGUGGGGUGCUCGAGUGGCGAACGGGUGAGUAACACGUGAGUAACCUGCCCUUGACUUUGGGGUAACUUCAGGAAACUGGGGCUAAUACCGGAUAGGAGCUCCUGCUGCAUGGUGGGGGUUGGAAAGUUUCGGCGGUUGGGGAUGGACUCGCGGCUUAUCAGCUUGUUGGUGGGGUAGUGGCUUACCAAGGCUUUGACGGGUAGCCGGCCUGAGAGGGUGACCGGCCACAUUGGGACUGAGAUACGGCCCAGACUCCUACGGGAGGCAGCAGUGGGGAAUAUUGCACAAUGGGCGGAAGCCUGAUGCAGCAACGCCGUGUGCGGGAUGACGGCCUUCGGGUUGUAAACCGCUUUCGCCUGUGACGAAGCGUGAGUGACGGUAAUGGGUAAAGAAGCACCGGCUAACUACGUG
RNAcentral lists this ribosomal RNA (468 nucleotides) under uncultured bacterium. RNAcentral describes it as "partial 16S ribosomal RNA". It matches the Rfam family "Bacterial small subunit ribosomal RNA", at positions 28 to 507 of the family's 1533-position model. The record is from RNAcentral.